RNAcentral lists this ribosomal RNA (242 nucleotides) under uncultured Vibrio sp. RNAcentral describes it as "partial 16S ribosomal RNA". It matches the Rfam family "Bacterial small subunit ribosomal RNA", at positions 173 to 420 of the family's 1533-position model. Lineage: Bacteria; Pseudomonadati; Pseudomonadota; Gammaproteobacteria; Vibrionales; Vibrionaceae. The record is from RNAcentral.
CUCGCAAGAGCAAAGCAGGGGACCGUUCGGGCCUUGCGCUACCGGAUAUGCCCAGGUGGGAUUAGCUAGUUGGUGAGGUAAGGGCUCACCAAGGCGACGAUCCCUAGCUGGUCUGAGAGGAUGAUCAGCCACACUGGAACUGAGACACGGUCCAGACUCCUACGGGAGGCAGCAGUGGGGAAGUAUUGCACAAUGGGCGCAAGCCUGAUGCAGCCAUGCCGCGUGUAUGAAGAAGGCCUCGG